Molecule: ribosomal RNA, 253 nt
Filed under: uncultured bacterium
Lineage: Bacteria
Description: partial 16S ribosomal RNA
Rfam family: Bacterial small subunit ribosomal RNA
Source: RNAcentral
UACAGAGGUCCCAAGCGUUGUUCGGAUUCACUGGGCGUAAAGGAUGCGUAGGCGGUCGGGUAAGUCUGACGUGAAAUCUUCAAGCUCAACUUGGAAACUGCGUCCGAUACUAUUCGGCUAGAGGAAUGGAGGGGAGACUGGAAUACUUGGUGUAGCAGUGAAAUGCGUAGAUAUCAAGUGGAACACCAGUGGCGAAGGCGGCCUUCUGGACGGUGACUGACGCUGAGACGCGAAAGCGUGGGGAGCAAACAGG